GUUUAUGCUUUUGAAUUUGAUAAAAGCCAUUCUUGUGUUGUUAGUCACACUUACCAGCGCAGUUUUCUUCGUGUUUCAGUCCCCACAAACCCAAAACCCUUCUUCAUCUUUGUCUACCAUGUCUUCUUCCUCCUCUUCAGUGGGUCGAAGCUUUGUUCUCUGGCUUCACGGUUUGGGUGACUCUGGCCCUGCCAACGAACCCAUCAAGAACUUGUUCACUUCCCCUCAGUUCAGGAACACCAAGUGGCUCUUUCCCUCUGCGCCAAAUGCCCCUGUCACUUGCAACUAUGGUCAUGUAAUGCCCUCAUGGUUUGACAUUCAUGAGAUUCCUAUAACUGCUGACUCUCCACAAGAUGAGAGUGGUUUGCUUAAAGCUGUUAAGAAUGUGCAUGCUACAAUAGACAAGGAAAUAGCUGAUGGCACAAACCCUAAUAAUGUAUUUAUCUGUGGAUUCAGUCAAGGAGGUGCAUUGACCUUGGCUAGCGUUCUGCUUUACCCAAAAACUUUAGGUGGAGGUGCAGUAUUUAGUGGCUGGGUACCAUUUAACUCAUCUUCGUCCAUCAUAGGACAAAUUUCACCCGAGGCAAAGCGGACACCACUAUUAUGGUCCCAUGGGAUUAUUGAUAGAACAGUCUUGUUUGAGGCUGGACAAGCAGGUCCCCCUUUCCUUGAAAAAAUUGGUGUUGGCUGUGAAUUUAAGGCUUAUCCUGGUCUUGCUCACUCAAUAAGCAAUGAGGAACUCCGAAAUCUGGAGUCGUGGAUCAAGACACGCCUACAGAGUUCUUCGUAAUCGUUUCUGGUCCCGCAAGAUUUUUCUCUUUUUUUCAUUUAUUAUUUUACCUUGGUGGUGGAAUUUGGUAUGGCCUGCAAGAAAGUAAAUCACCUCAAUGGCUGAAAGGGGGGAAUGGUGGAAUUUCGUAUCUUGCAUUGCAAUAUUUAUGAUAGAUUUGAUGGGGCAGCCUUCUGAUCAAUGCUUCAUUGUCCAUUUGUUAAUGUUGAAAGUUAGAAACAGGAGUGUGCAUAUGGAUACAGACAUACAGUAAAUAAAAAUAGUGACAAUAAACAGAAUGAAUUAAGUAAACAAGUAUCAAUGUUACUCCCCUUAAAAAUAUAGGGAAAACUUCAUGUAGGAAAAAAGAAUGUAAUUUUACCACAACAAGUGAUGGUAGCCACUUGAAAUUUUUUGCCUUUGUCUUACACUCUAUUUGCAAGUUGUCACUGUAGCCAUGCAGCAUUGUUUCUGCUUCUUUUUGUUGGGACCAUUUCAGAGGUGGGUUGAGAUUGAGACCACUGUGUUGUUUUAGCUGAAAAGCUGGAAAAAGUUACUGUUUUUCUAGCAUUAUCAAUUGAACCAUGUUGGCACUUGUCUAAUUAAAUAUACCUUAAUCCAUGAUUUGCAGUUUAAAAUAUAUCUUUUAGGGUUUUAGCCAUAUAUUAAUUAGACCAUUAUCCAAAACCUAAGGUAGCGUUUGUUUGAGGUACUGAAACAGAGACUAAGAGAUUGAGACUCAGUAUCAUGUUUGUUGGUUCAGAGACUGGUAUUAAAAUUUCUGUCUGUCUCCAAAAUUUCAGUAUUUCAGUACCUCUAAAAUGUGGAGACAUAGGAGACUAAAAUUUUUAGAGAUA
This is an RNA transcript of Arachis stenosperma, 1626 nucleotides long. It is a transcript of the gene named probable carboxylesterase SOBER1-like, with no coding region annotated. The record is from RefSeq and is a predicted model, not a curated record. NCBI's taxonomy places the organism in Eukaryota, Viridiplantae, Streptophyta, Magnoliopsida, Fabales, Fabaceae. The transcript is spliced from 7 exons.